CCUCACUUUUCUCAGCUUUUCUUUUUUUUUUUUUUUUUUUUUUCUUUUUUUAAGAAAAGGGUUCUAUUAUCUGUAAAAAUUAAACCUACCCACAAAUUAAUAUAUUAAAAAUUAAAUGGGGUUGUUCUUAUAUUUCCUUUUCUACAAAUAAUUAUUCAUUCAUAUUAUAAAAAAUUAGGGUUAGGGUUUAUAUGGGUUUCUAUUGGACUAACGACGGCGUUUUGAAAUUUAUAUCAGUCGUUGUUUGCCGAUGCAGCACCAUCAAGAUUCACAACCCUCUUCACUUCCAUCUUUAAUCUCAUAUUUUCCUUUUUUGGGUCUAAUUGUUAUAUAUAAUUAAAUUGUUAUAUAUGUAAUAAUUAACCCAAAAAAAUAAAAAAAAAAAGAUUGAAUGAGGUAAAAGGUUGCAACUUGUAAGGAUAUGAGAAUCUUGAUGAUGCUGCAGCGGCAAUAAAUGGCUUAUUAUUUAUAAAUUUGUCUAAGUAAUUAGACAAUCAAGUUGAUAAUUUUAUCAGUUAUAUAUUCCUAAUCUGUAGGUAAGCCCUCCCCCAUAAGCAUCUUAUUUAUUUAUUUAUUUAUUCUUAAUAAUUUUAUCUAAUCUUGAUUAUUUUUUCAAAGUCUUUUAUUUUAUUAUGAUCAUUUAUUUUUUUCUAUGUUUUUAUGUAUUUAAUGUAAUGUUUUAUACUCAAUACGUUGAUGCAAAUUUGAAUCGCUAUAUUAUCUCUUUUGAUAAAGGUAUAUAUAGCUCAUUCUUUUUUAUAAAUCUUAUACUUCAUAUAUGUUUCUAUAUAUUCAAUUUAAGGGGUGUUUUUUUUGUACUAGAUCAUUUAUUUUCAUUUGCAGACUAUUCUCGAGUUGAGGGUUUUGUUGACUGUAACGUUUUUAUUUCUUUCGAGUAGGAUGUGUAUGGUAUGUCGUCAUCACUCUGUUUAAACCCUAAUCGGGUUGAGAGUUUUAAUUGACCGCAACCUCCUCUUUUGAUUAGGGCCGGGUAUGUGUGAAAUAUCGUCAUCACUCUGUUCAAGCCCUGACGAUCAGAUUGAGGGUUUCAUUGAUUGCAACCUCUUUAUUUCUUUCGAUUAGGGUAUAUAUGGUAUGUGGUCAUUAAUCAGCUCAAACCCUGAUUAUAGUUUUUACGACGAAUGUACCAAGUAUAAUAAUGAUGUUGGAGCAUGAUAUAAACAUAAUUUAUAUAAAAUGGUAGUUGUUGAGUGAUAUAAUACUGUUGUUUAGUGAGUGGAUCUGGAGAUUACUGACUUAAUUUAUAUAGUGAAAGCUGAAAUUUUGUACUAAUUAGCCAUUACAAGUUGUAGAACGAAUUACAUAAUUAGAUGAUCUGUACUUUUGCAGGAAAAAAUUACUAUUAGUUUACAUGAUAUCAGAUCUUGUUGAUGACUGAAAUACUCCCUCCGUGCCAUUCCAUAAAUGAAAUACUUACUCGGAUGUAGCAAUUUCAACGUGACAAAGUAGUAUAAGUUUGUCUUUUCAGGUUUUUACCUGAUCCAUACCAUAGUCUUUCCCCUCUUUUUUUCUGCUUUAUUUGGUCCUUUAAUUUGGAUGUGUUUCUGUAAAUGUUUUUAUUUGGCAGGUGAAUAUUACAGUUUGCUGAUUUAAACUGAUUUGAUGUAUUUUCUGAAGUUACAGGUACAAUUUUUGAUGUGUUUUCUGAAGCUAAAGGUACAAUCUUUGAGGUCAUAUACUCUAUCAUUUUGUCACUCCAUGUUUUGUUUUAACACACCUAUGUUUAAAAAAGAUCUACUGUGUCUAAUGGCUUUAACAUUUCGAGUAUUGGCUUUAUUUGGAGUGUAUAAUGAUUUUGAAUUUUGUACUUAAAUGUUGUUCAUCAAGGUUCUUGCAUUUUAUAAGUAGGGAGAAUUUAGGUACCGGUAUAUUUUAAACUUUGACUUAUGUAAUUUGAAUAAAAAUUCUAAUAAUAUUAAAUUGUGUCUAUAAUAUACAUAAAUAGCAGUUGAAUUGGUUGAAUCCAUAUAGAAAUGAAUUUUGACCCACUAUAUAUUAGUAUAUAUCAAACUGAUCAUAUAUAUAUAUAUAUAUAUAUAUAUAUAUAUAUAUAUAGAUUUAGGAUCAAAUGAGAAAGGGUCUCAAAAUGAGAAAGGUGGGAAGGAAUUUCAUCCAUUCAGAUUAAAGAUUGGUGGUCAGGAUGAGUUUGAUCCUUGCACGCGGUUCAUGGCCUUUUAUAACCGUUUUUUUUUUUUUUUUUUCAGCAAACCGGUUUAACCUUGCACGCGGUUCACUUUUGUUUUUCUUCCUUCUCAUUAAAGAUCGUUUGUUUGCUGGUGUGUGAUUAUCUUCAAGGCUACUCUGUUCUUCGAAGCUUUUUAGAACAAUUGAAGGUUUUUCGAAGAGUAUAGCUUGGAAGAGAAAGGCGCUAUUGUUCUUCAAAAAAACCGAAUCAGCCUUUUUUUUUUUCUUGCCCUAUUUUUCUGGUUCAUUAUCCAGGCCAUUAGAUCUUUGAGAAAUCGACGGCUCAAAAUCCUUCUCACCCUUCUCAUUUUCAUACCCUUUCUCAUUGGAUCC
Long non-coding RNA from Amaranthus tricolor (Joseph's coat), 2538 nucleotides. RefSeq lists it as uncharacterized. NCBI's taxonomy places the organism in Eukaryota, Viridiplantae, Streptophyta, Magnoliopsida, Caryophyllales, Amaranthaceae. The transcript has 3 exons. The record is from RefSeq and is a predicted model, not a curated record.